GAUGAACGCUGGCGGCGUGCCUAAUACAUGCAAGUAGAACGCUGAAGGAAGGAGCUUGCUCUUUCCGGAUGAGUUGCGAACGGGUGAGUAACGCGUAGGUAACCUGCCUGGUAGCGGGGGAUAACUAUUGGAAACGAUAGCUAAUACCGCAUAACAGUAGAUAUUGCAUGAUAUCUGCUUGAAAGGGGCAAUUGCUCCACUACCAGAUGGACCUGCGUUGUAUUAGCUAGUUGGUGAGGUAACGGCUCACCAAGGCGACGAUACAUAGCCGACCUGAGAGGGUGAUCGGCCACACUGGGACUGAGACACGGCCCAGACUCCUACGGGAGGCAGCAGUAGGGAAUCUUCGGCAAUGGACGGAAGUCUGACCGAGCAACGCCGCGUGAGUGAAGAAGGUUUUCGGAUCGUAAAGCUCUGUUGUAAGAGAAGAACGAGUGUGAGAGUGGAAAGUUCACACU
This 458-nucleotide ribosomal RNA is filed under the name Streptococcus australis. RNAcentral's name for it is "bacterial SSU rRNA". It matches the Rfam family "Bacterial small subunit ribosomal RNA", at positions 28 to 470 of the family's 1533-position model. The record is from RNAcentral. Lineage: Bacteria; Bacillati; Bacillota; Bacilli; Lactobacillales; Streptococcaceae.